GAGAGUAUAGCUCAGUGGUAGAGCACGUGCUUAGCUUGCUUGAGGUCCUGGGUUCAACCUCCAGUACCUCCG
This 72-nucleotide transfer RNA is filed under the name Camelus bactrianus (Bactrian camel). It matches the Rfam family "tRNA". Rfam says of the family: Transfer RNA (tRNA) molecules are approximately 80 nucleotides in length. Their secondary structure includes four short double-helical elements and three loops (D, anti-codon, and T loops). RNAcentral also lists the same sequence under 2 other names. Lineage: Eukaryota; Metazoa; Chordata; Mammalia; Artiodactyla; Camelidae. The record is from Rfam by way of RNAcentral.